RNAcentral lists this transfer RNA (73 nucleotides) under Clostridia bacterium. Its description in RNAcentral is "tRNA-Trp". It matches the Rfam family "tRNA". Rfam says of the family: Transfer RNA (tRNA) molecules are approximately 80 nucleotides in length. Their secondary structure includes four short double-helical elements and three loops (D, anti-codon, and T loops). Further hydrogen bonds mediate the characteristic L-shaped molecular structure. tRNAs have two regions of fundamental functional importance: the anti-codon, which is responsible for specific mRNA codon recognition, and the 3' end, to which the tRNAs corresponding amino acid is attached (by aminoacyl-tRNA synthetases). tRNAs cope with the degeneracy of the genetic code in two manners: having more than one tRNA (with a specific anti-codon) for a particular amino acid; and 'wobble' base-pairing, i.e. permitting non-standard base-pairing at the 3rd anti-codon position. Lineage: Bacteria; Bacillati; Bacillota; Clostridia. The record is from RNAcentral.
UAGGGGUAUGGUUCAAUGGCAGAACAGAGGUCUCCAAAACCUUUGAUGAGAGUUCGAUUCUUUCUACCCCUGU